ACCCCCGGGCAGGGGGGAUUACCCCCUGAAUUUAAACAUAUCAU
RNAcentral lists this ribosomal RNA (44 nucleotides) under Syringa oblata var. alba. RNAcentral describes it as "partial large subunit ribosomal RNA". The record is from RNAcentral. Lineage: Eukaryota; Viridiplantae; Streptophyta; Magnoliopsida; Lamiales; Oleaceae.